GGAGGAGGAGACUGAGAGGGACGCCCUGAAGACGGUGGAGGAGAGCGUUGUGAGAUUGGUGGGGAAGGAGAAGGGCGUGGAGGAGGAACAGAUGAAGGAGGUGGAGGGGAAGAAGGCAAUGGUGGUGGAGGAGACGCUUGUGGUGGCUGCACGGACGGUGGCGGCGGUGAAGUUGAAGGAGGAGGUGAAGGGAUCACUGGCUGUGGCGGUGGGAGAGAGGUCUCAGGUGGUUUAGGCAGAGGAGGAGGAGCAUCAUUUGGUGGCGGUGGUGAUGUCACCGGUGGUGGUGUGGCCGGAGGAGGAGACUGAGACGGUGGAGGUGAAGUAGCAUUGUUAGUCGGAAGAGAACUGCCCAACGGCGGAGAAACAACCGGUGGAGGCGGUGGAGAAGUUGAAACAGGAGGCUGAGCCGGCGUUGUUGCCAUCUAAAAAUUCCGACAAGCUACAAAUCUAUCACCGACAAGCUUCUGGGUCCAUCAAAAAACCUCAAAUUCUCAAACUUUGGUCGGAGAGAUGAUUGGGAUCACUUUCAAACCUAAAAAUGCAGAGUUUUGAGUAAGACAGUCUCCUGAAAGCACCAAACUUUCACCAACCCUAACAACACUAAACGUGACGAAGCGGCAAUCUUUCCAGAUCAAACACACACAGCUUAAACCCUAAAUUACUCAAAACAUCUAAAGCUUCUUCAGAUCUCCUUUGAACCUCAGAUCUAUCUGUAAGAGCUUUCUUCACUCAAACACCAUAACUGAAACAAACAAAAAAGAAUAU
Long non-coding RNA from Brassica rapa (field mustard), 768 nucleotides. RefSeq lists it as uncharacterized. Lineage: Eukaryota; Viridiplantae; Streptophyta; Magnoliopsida; Brassicales; Brassicaceae. The record is from RefSeq and is a predicted model, not a curated record.